CCCUCCCUUAUCUCGUCAUUUUCUCAGAAACCCCAAACCCGUGAAAACCUAUCCCCCUUUUCAUGUUAUUCUCUCUUCGCUGAGACCUCGCCACACCUCCCCUUCAAUUCGCCGGCGAUUUGCCGAGCUUGCCGGAGUUUCCUUUACCCCCCCUUGCUGCUUGACGGAGCCUCGUCGCCUGCCGCUGUUACAGUUCCCUGCUCUCUCUCUCUUCUUUCGUUCUUCCUUUCUUCCUUUCUUCCCCUGUCGUGUUGUUCGUUGAUGCUGCUUGGAGUUUUGUUGCUGAUGAACGCCGCCGCCACUCCUUAUGUUGCCGCCUACCUCGUCGAUCGUCGCUGCCCGCUACCGAAGCUUGGCUCCCCUCUUAUUUUUCGUCCCUGCUCAUUUGGAGCAGAGGUUAUUGUUGGAAGAUGAUUUUGGAGUGGAGUAUCAUUCAGAGUUAUGAAGGAGAUUAUGUUGUUGAAACUGGAUUGCAUUUCAGGUUGGUGUUGUGAGCUCGGAAUGGAAGUGAAGCGAGAUUAUGAUGUUGUCGUAGAUUAUGGAUUAAGUUUGUAUUUUAGAUCGUUGGUUCGAGAAUAGUUAUCGGUAUUUCAUUGUAUAUAAUAUUUGGGAAUUUAGUCAAGAUAUUUGUGUAUUUAAGGAUA
Beta vulgaris subsp. vulgaris (sugar beet) is the source of this 644-nucleotide long non-coding RNA. RefSeq lists it as uncharacterized. The transcript is spliced from 3 exons. The record is from RefSeq and is a predicted model, not a curated record. NCBI's taxonomy places the organism in Eukaryota, Viridiplantae, Streptophyta, Magnoliopsida, Caryophyllales, Amaranthaceae.